CGGCGUGCCUAGAAAUGCAAGUCGAACGGGGUUAGCAAUACCUAGUGGCGAACGGUCGCGUAACACGUAAGCAACCUGCCUCAGAGUGGGGGAUAACAGUCCGAAAGGAUUGCUAAUACCGCAUGUGGUUCACGGAUGGCAUCAUCUGUGAUCCAAAGCCUAGUGCGCUUUGAGAUGGGCUUGCGGCCUAUCAGGUAGUUGGUGGGGUAAUGGCCUACCAAGCCGACGACGGGUAGCUGGUCUGAGAGGACGAUCAGCCGGAUUGGGACUGAGAUACGGCCCAGACACCUACGGGGGGCAGCAAUUAGGAAUCUUGCGCAAUGGGGGCAACCCUGACGCAGCGACGCCGCGUGAAGGAUGAAGGAUUUCGGUCUGAAUCGAAUUCCCGCGA
This 391-nucleotide ribosomal RNA is filed under the name uncultured bacterium. RNAcentral's name for it is "bacterial SSU rRNA". It matches the Rfam family "Bacterial small subunit ribosomal RNA", at positions 40 to 445 of the family's 1533-position model. The record is from RNAcentral.